UACGGAGGGAGCUAGCGUUGUUCGGAAAUACUGGGCGUAAAGCGCACGUAGGCGGCGCCGCAAGUCAGGGGUGAAAUCCCGGGGCUCAACCCCGGAACUGCCCUUGAAACUGCAGUGCUAGAAUUCUGGAGAGGCGAGUGGAAUUCCGAGUGUAGAGGUGAAAUUCGUAGAUAUUCGGAAGAACACCAGUGGCGAAGGCGACUCGCUGGACAGACAUUGACGCUGAGGUGCGAAAGCGUGGGGAGCAAACAGG
RNAcentral lists this ribosomal RNA (253 nucleotides) under uncultured bacterium. RNAcentral describes it as "partial 16S ribosomal RNA". It matches the Rfam family "Bacterial small subunit ribosomal RNA", at positions 524 to 776 of the family's 1533-position model. The record is from RNAcentral.